This 460-nucleotide ribosomal RNA is filed under the name uncultured bacterium. Its description in RNAcentral is "partial 16S ribosomal RNA". It matches the Rfam family "Bacterial small subunit ribosomal RNA", at positions 338 to 795 of the family's 1533-position model. The record is from RNAcentral.
CCUACGGGAGGCAGCAGUGAGGAAUAUUGGUCAAUGGACGAGAGUCUGAACCAGCCAAGUAGCGUGAAGGAUGACUGCCCUAUGGGUUGUAAACUUCUUUUAUAUGGGAAUAAAAUGUUCCACGUGUGGGAUUUUGUAUGUACCAUAUGAAUAAGGAUCGGCUAACUCCGUGCCAGCAGCCGCGGUAAUACGGAGGAUCCGAGCGUUAUCCGGUUUUAUUGGGUUUAAAGGGAGCGUAGGUGGAUUGUUAAGUCAGUUGUGAAAGUUUGCGGCUCAACCGUAAAAUUGCAGUUGAAACUGGCAGUCGUGAGUACAGUAGAGGUGGGCGGAAUUCGUGGUGUAGCGGUGAAAUGCUUAGAUAUCACGAAGAACUCCGAUUGCGAAGGCAGCUCACUGGACUGCAACUGACACUGAGGCUCGAAAGUGUGGGUAUCAAACAGGAUUAGAUACCCCAGUAGUC